RNAcentral lists this ribosomal RNA (492 nucleotides) under uncultured bacterium. Its description in RNAcentral is "partial 16S ribosomal RNA". The stretch from base 13 to 382 matches the Rfam family "Bacterial small subunit ribosomal RNA", at positions 40 to 399 of the family's 1533-position model. The record is from RNAcentral.
GACGAACGCUGGCGGCGUGCUUAACACAUGCAAGUCGAACGGUGAAGCGCCUUCCUUUUUGGUGGGUGUGGAUGAGUGGCGAACGGGUGAGUAACACGUGAGUAACCUGCCCCCUUCUUCUGGAUAACCGCAUGAAAGUGUGGCUAAUACGGGAUAUUCUGGGUCUGUCGCAUGAUGGGUCUGGGAAAGAUAUUGUUUCGGUGGGGGAUGGGCUCGUGGCCUAUCAGCUUGUUGGUGGGGUGAUGGCCUACCAAGGCGGUGACGGGUAGCCGGCCUGAGGGGGUGGGGGGUGAGAGGGGGACUGGGAAACGUGCGAGUGUCCUACGGGGCAGAGGGGUGGGGGAGAGAGCAGUGGGGGCGAAAGCCUGAUGGGGCGACGCCGGGUGAGGGGGGGAGGCGUGGGGGGUGAAGGCCUUUGGGGCGGGAAAAGCAGGCGCGCGGGGUGUGGGGGGGGUGACGGGGUAGGGAGAAAAAACGCCGGCGCACACUGCG